This 2773-nucleotide ribosomal RNA is filed under the name Agrocybe salicacicola. RNAcentral describes it as "bacterial LSU rRNA". The stretch from base 368 to 2773 matches the Rfam family "Bacterial large subunit ribosomal RNA". The record is from RNAcentral. Lineage: Eukaryota; Fungi; Basidiomycota; Agaricomycetes; Agaricales; Agrocybaceae.
CAAAAGCAAGAGGGAGAAUAGUUAGAAUAAAGUACGAUGAGAGUUAACUUGUCGGAAUAUAGGGGAACCAUCCUCUAAGGCUAAGUAUUAUAAAUUUAGCAAUAGCGAAAAGUACUGUAAAGGAAAAUUUUGAAAAGCAAGUAGUAUACUAAAGAUAUCAUAAAUAAAAAAAAGGUAGUGUUAUUUUAUAAUAUUAUCUUUUUUUUUAUUAAUUUAACUUAUUACUUAUCUUUAUUUUUUUAAACUAUCUCUAACCCUCUUUUGUAUUUAUAUAUAAAAAAAUAUAAAUACAAAUGAAAAACGGGGAAACUAGAGUUGCUUCGCUAGUAGUUUAAAAAAAUUAAAUAAGUAUAUAAAUUAUAAAAUAUGGUAUGGGUGAAAAGAUCGUGAAUUAGUAACUCUAUAAGCAGUCGAAGUUUCAUUACAAAAGUAAAAAGAAAUGACGGCGUACCUUUUGCAUAAUGGGUCAGCAAGUUAAUAGGAGUAGCAAGGUUUAAACCUUAGCGAAAGCGACUGGACUAUAAAAAUAGUGAUGGGUAAGUUACUUCUAUUAGACCCGAAGCCAGGUGAUCUUACCAAGACCAGAUUAUAAUGGAUCGAACGGUUGAAUGUUGCAUAAUUCUCCGAAGAGUUUUGGUAAGCGGUGAAAUGCCAAUCUGACCUGGUGCUAGCUGGUUUUCUACCGAAACAUAUUUAAGUAUGAUGUCUAUCUAUAGAUUUAUGAAGGUACAGCAAGGCGAUUCCCAACAAGUUUAAUUUAAAUAAUUAUUUAUUUAAAUUUUAUACGUUUAGGUUGCGGGGACCUCGAAAAUCUUACCUUUGGAAGCGAAUCUCGGAAUUACAUAAAUUGAUGGUAGAUAUUCAGACUGUUCAUGCUAAGUUGGACAGUCAAGACGGAAACAGCCGAGAACACUGAUCAAGGUCCCAAAUGAUUGUUAAGUGAAAUUAAGGACGUAGCAAUAUCGUAUACAGCUGUGAAGUGAGCCUGGCAGUCGCUACUUAUAAUGAUCGUACGUAACAACGCAUCAGCAGUAAUUUUACUUAAAAAAAGUAAUAAAUGAUAGUAGCGCCGAAAAUUUAACGGGUCUUAAACAAUCAACCGAUAUCGUGUUGGUUAAAAAUAAUUUUUACACAGGUUGCAUAGAAUUAUUUUUUAAUCUAGGUAGUAGAACAUUCAGUAAAACUGUUUAUAAAAUAGUGUUUCAUUAUUUUUUAGGUUACUGAAGAGAGAAUGCUGACAUGAGUAACGUAAAAAAUUCCUAUAAUGGAAUUCGCCGAAUACGAAAGGGUUGCAAAUAUGAAAGGUUAAACCGUUUUGUUUUAAUGCGGCCUCUAAGGACUAUAGCCAAAGCUAUGGCUGAUGAGUAAUAAAUAGAAAGUCCAAUAUUUAAAAAAUGGACCAGGAAAAUAAUAUUUAAUUUUACCCUCCCUUUGUUUAUAUUUUUAUAAAAAUAUAAAUAAAAAUCCUUCGGACUUCAGCUCCGUAGGAGGGGUAAAAACUACCGUACCCUAAACCGACACAGGUUCGUAGGUAGAGUAUACUAAGGCGUAGAGCUAAAAGUUGUUAAGGAACUCGGCAAGUACACCUCAUAAGUUUGACGACAAGAGGUACCUUAAGUAAUAUACCUUAAGGUGGCACAAAAUCGGAGGCCCCGACUGUUUACUAAAAACACAACACAGUGCAAUCAUUAAUAUGGUAGUAUACUGUGUGAAAUUUGCCCGAUGCCAUUAAUAUAAGAAAAGUUAUGGUUAUUAUUUACUGUGACUAAUCGAAAAUCUGGUUAAUAGCGGUCUUAACUAUGAGGAUCCUAAGGUAGCAAAAUCAGUUGGCCAUUAAAUGUGGUCCGGUAUCAAUAAUGUAACGAUGGUCUCACUGUCUCUACAACUUGCUCAGUGAAAUUGAAUUACGCGUGCAGAUGCGCGUUGCCUCCAGGGGGACGGGAAGACCCUAUGCAGCUUUACUGUAGUUAGUUAUCAUAUGAAUCUAGAACAAUCUUGUUUAAUAGUGAAUAGGAAUGUCGAUAGACUAAAUAGUGGAAACCUUAUAAACAAGGUUGGGUUUGUGUUUACCUGAUAAUUUAAAAUUUAAAAUCUCAGGGAUAGUUGACUAAUUGGCAGUUUGACUGGGGCGGUCGUCUUUAAUAGAGUAGCAAAGUACAUCCAAAUAUAUCAAACUACAAGUAAAAACAAACCUUUUCUCUCCUACUUUAUAUUUUAAAUAUAAAGCAGAGCAAAAGUCAAAAGGGGGAUAAAGUUUUAUAACAAAAAAGUUUAAUCUUUUUAAAACUAUUAUAAGUAUAUUUAUAUAAUCUAAUUCUGGUCAAAUUAAUUAUAUUUAUAUGGCUUUAUUUUAGCUUUAAUUAAGGUUUAAAUUUUUAAUUUUUAAUUUUUAAUAUAUAAUUUAUAAGGUAUAGCUAGAAAUUGAAUGGAGAUCAAUCAACCAGUGAAGGGUUGCGCAGGGCUCAAUGGCGAUAAGCAUGCUUAACUGAAAGACUCAAAAGUCGCACAGAUACGUAAGUAGGGCAUAGUGACCCCUCGCUAUAGUAUGGGAUAGACGGGGAUCAAUUAAUAAAAGUUACGCUAGGGAUAACAGGCUGAUCGCGGACGAGAGUACACAUUGUCUCCGCGGUUUGGCACCUCGAUGUCGACUCAUCCUAUCCUCCGGGGGAAGAAGCUUGGAAGGGUUCGGCUGUUCGCCGAUUAAAAGGGUACGUGAGUUGGGUUUAAUACGACGUGAGUCAGUAUGGUCCCUAUCUUCUGGAGGGAUAAUUAG